AAUUAUGGAAUCAGCUACAGUUAAUUAUCAAAGAAAACUUCGACAGUUAAUUGCCGCGGAGUUUUAAAAUUAAAAUUUAACACCUCAUGCUCUUUAUUAAAUGCAUACGUUAUAUCAUUUAAUAAAGAGUAUGUGGUGUUUGAUUUAAUUUAAUUUGAUAUUAACAUAAAUAAAUGGCAGAUAUGUGCAUGUGUGUUAAAUUUUAAUUUUGAAACUCCGCGGCAGUAACUGCCGAAGUUUUCCUCGGUAGUUAACUGCAAAAGUUUCCUCGAUA
This 274-nucleotide microRNA precursor is filed under the name Medicago truncatula (barrel medic). RNAcentral describes it as "miR2629g stem-loop (mtr-MIR2629g)". Lineage: Eukaryota; Viridiplantae; Streptophyta; Magnoliopsida; Fabales; Fabaceae. The record is from miRBase by way of RNAcentral.